GACGAACGCUGGCGGCGUGCUUAACACAUGCAAGUCGAACGAAGUGGCGAACGGGUGAGUAACGAGUAAUCAACCUGCCCUUCAGAGGGGGACAACAGUUGGAAACGACUCCUAAUACCGCAUACUGAAGGAGGGGAUUGCGGCAGAUUAGCUAGUUGGAGGGGUAACGGCCCACCAAGGCGAUGAUGAGUAGCCGGUCUGAGAUGAUUACCCGCCACACUGGGACUCAGACACGGCCCCGACUCCUACGGGAGGCAGCAGUGGGGAAUCUUCCGCAAUGGACGAAAGUCUGACGGAGCAACGCCGCGUGAUGGAUGACGGCCUUCGGGUUGUAAAGCUCGGUUAAUCGGGACGCGGUACCGGAAUAGAAAGCCACGGCUAACUACGUGCCAGCAGCCGCGGUAAUUC
This 408-nucleotide ribosomal RNA is filed under the name uncultured bacterium. RNAcentral describes it as "partial 16S ribosomal RNA". It matches the Rfam family "Bacterial small subunit ribosomal RNA", at positions 28 to 526 of the family's 1533-position model. The record is from RNAcentral.